CUCUCAACUCUACUUGAAUGCAACAGCAGCUAGUGAUGAACUUUGAAAGACAGGCACUGGAGUACCAUGUAUCAGAGUGCCCUUUGCUAGGGGCAGCUAUAUAGCUUCCUGGCCAGAAACAGGUUUCCUAUCAAAGGGAACAUUUGUGGCUUACUCUUCUAUGGAGCAACAAACCCUGUGAGCUCAGAAACUGUUAAACACACUGAAUUGGAUGACUGAAGAAAUGCUCGUUUCCAGCAGUUAACAGUCGUUCCCUGCUCUCAUCUCCAUACACAGAGAUCAGAACAUAGGACGAAACUGUUUUAAAAUCAAGCUGAAGAUAUUCCCCCUUCUUCUGCAGAUAUCCACUUACAGUCUCAGUAUACUAAUUUUCUUGCACAUCUGUAGAAAAGCUUGUUUAUUCAAGGGAACUUUUGGUAGGAGAGGAGCUUCACAAGGAAUAAUCUUCUCACAAACCUGCAAAGCCAGCAAUUAAUUAAGACUGCAGCAUUAUUUAGGAAUAGAAUUCGGCUCCAGCUCCUGUUUGCUUGGUGCUGAGGUUCCUGUGGCAGACAGCGAAGCUGAGAAUCCACUCCCUUUUCUUUGCCCCAGGUGCUACCGAUGUCACCCCGGUGUCCC
Long non-coding RNA from Oxyura jamaicensis (ruddy duck), 618 nucleotides. RefSeq lists it as uncharacterized. The record is from RefSeq and is a predicted model, not a curated record. The transcript has 4 exons. NCBI's taxonomy places the organism in Eukaryota, Metazoa, Chordata, Aves, Anseriformes, Anatidae.